Molecule: long non-coding RNA, 6336 nt
Filed under: Sus scrofa (pig)
Lineage: Eukaryota; Metazoa; Chordata; Mammalia; Artiodactyla; Suidae
Description: lncRNA (ENSSSCG00060012568.1)
Source: RNAcentral
CUUUUUUUUUUUUUUUUUUUUUUUUUUUUUUUUUGGUGAGGUGUCUGUUAGGGCCUUUAGCCCAUUUUUAAACCCAGUUGUUUUUUUAUUGUGGAGUUUUAAGAAUGCUUUUUCUAUUUUGAAUAGUAGACCUUUAUCAGAAGUGUCUUUUGCAGAUAUUCUCUCCUAGUUCGUGGCUUGUCUUCCCAUUUUCUUGAUAUUUGUCUUUUGCAGAACAGAAUUUUUAAAAUUUAAUAGAGUCAAGCUCAUAAAUUCUUUCUUUUAUACAUUUUGCCUUAAAUGGUGUUGUGUCUUAAAAUUUAUUGUCAUACCAAACCAAGCUUAUAUAGAUUUUCUCCUGUGUUAUCUUCUAGGAGUUUUAUACUUUGAUGAUUUACAUAUAGGCUUCUGAUCUAUUUUGAGUUAACUUUUGUAAAGGGUAUAAGGUUUGUGUCUAGUUUCUGUUUUUCUUUUUUUUGGCAUGUGAAUGUCCAGUUGGUCCAACACCAUUUAUUGAAGAGACUAUCUUUGUUCCAAUGUAUUUCCUUUGAUCUUUUGUCAAUGAUCAGUUGACUAUAUUUAUGUGAGUUUAUUUCUGGGUUCUCCAUUCUGUUCCAUGGAUAUAUUUGCAGCUCUUUUACAAAUUGCAUGCUGUCUUGAUUACUAUAAUUUUUUGGUAAGUCUUGAAAUCAGGUAGCUUCAGUAUUCCAACUUUGUUUUUCUCCUUCAAAACUCGGUUAGCUAUUCUGAGCAUUUUGCCUCUCAAUAUAAACUUCAUAAUUAGUUUUUUGAAAUCCACAAAAUACCUUUCUGCAGUUUUGAUAGGGAUUACAUUGACUCCAUAGAUCAAGUUGGAAAGAACUGACAUUGUGAAAAUAUUGUGUCUUCCUAUCCAUGAACAUGGAAUAUCUCUUCUUGUAUUUAGUUUUUCUUAAUCUUGUUCAUCAUAUUUUUGUAGUUUUCCUCACUUAGAUCUUGUACCUUCAGAAGAGGAUAUUACAUACCGGUCUCCAAAAUCCAAAGCCAAUUUCACUUAGACAAAUCUUGUGUUAACUAAACAAGCUAGAACCAACAUGAAGCCAUACUGGAUGAGGGAUGUAAUUAUUGUGCCCAAAUAACUAUUCCAUCCACUGCUUCUUUCUUAGUCCUCAGACAUUAAUACAAUAAAAAUAACCUAAGGAGAAAUAUAAUUUGAGGCAAUUUAUUAAGCACAAUCUAUUAAUGCUUGGCACUAUAGAGUCAUGACUAUUUUGAGGUAAGCCUUACCAAAAAAUAAUUUUAGUCAACCUAAGCCAAGUCCACAGAAGCAAAAGCUAGUCUUGUCAGGAUCUAAUACGAUGGGGAAUUAUACACAAGUCAAUAGGAAUUUUUUUUUUGUCUUCAUGUGACAUUUAAUAGCUAAAAGGCAACCACUAAGUUGCAAAGAGCAUCAUCAAGUUGUAGACCCUAUAUCACAUAGUUUGUUAAAUAUCAGUACAUGGAGGCUUAGGGGUCAAUAUGUUCACUGAGGUCAUUCUGAGAUUCUUAAGUACUGCCAGUGGUUCAUAAGGGCUGGCCCCAUUUCUGACAUUUCUAAUUUUUGCAUAGACUUUUGGUUUAGUAAGGAUUUUAGGAAGCUAUUAAAUGAUAUUUCUCUUUUUUUCCAGAGUUCAGAAUCAAUUGAGCAAGAAGGCAUAGCAAUUAAGCAGAUGUAAAUGAAAUGACUAGAUUUACUACUGAUAAAAAAAAUAGACUGGAAAAUGCGACAUUAAAUCAGUAAAACACACUCCGCAGAAUUAAGUAUACUCCUAACCCAGUAAUCUUUUACAUUAGAGAAUUUGCAUUUUCUCUAAGUCUAAUAUUACUAAACUUAAAACAUGGAGGAGCAGAGGAUACAUUUGUUCAGUUAAUAUUGUGGCUCCUCAGAAAGAGUAUCCAGAAUAAAGCCCAACAUGCUUAAUUAUUUCUCAUGGAAUAUAAACUUUGUGGAAUAAACAGGAACAAAAGGAGAAAAGAGUUGAUUCAUUUUGCUGUAUCUUCCAAUGAGCUCAUUCGAGAAUUCUUGACUGAGAUAUUUGCAGCUCUCCAGGUUUCAACCCAACCCAAGACCUCAGUAAUCUAUUUUCCCCAAAAUUUGGCAAUAUCCAAUAAACAUUUUUAUGUUACCUAGAGUUGACUGAAUAACUUGCAAGAAAAUAAGUCUAUCCAUAUGUUUUGUAUGUUUGCUUAUUUAUAUUUUGUUUGUGUUUAUCUCUAGACCACCUUGGAAAAUCUUUAGUGAAUAUUGUGAAUUAAAGCUCCAAUUCCUAUUUUUCAAGCAGCUAAACCCUUUUCUCAGUACUACUACUACUUCAAUAUUUCUUUAUUCCAUAGUCUUUCUCCUUAUGUUAUAAAAUACUUUAAAGGAAUAGAGUAUUUUUAACUAUCUUUAGAAUUUGGUAUUAUGAUGUCAUACUCCUCAAAACCUGAAGUUGUGGAAAUUAGUUAGGUUUCUGAAAAUCAAACAGAAACUAUACUAUCAUAAUGAAUCUGACUGUAGGGAGGGCCAUGAAAAUGGAAAGACAUUGGAGGAGACAAGAUUUUCUCAGAUGAAGAUUUUUCUCAGAUCAGAAUGUAUGUAAUCUUUUUAAUGUAUUAAGUACAUCUAAAUAAAAAUUGUGAUUCAGAAGGAGUCUUUCUUAGUCACAGAAUCUAGAAAAAUCACUCUGAAUCUUACAUAAGCAAUUUCUAUCCAAAUAUUGUUCAGAAAUUAGGAAACUUUGGUCGCUGAAUUAAACACACCUCUGCUUCUGACAGUGAGGAUGUCUUUUUGCUGGAGAGUAAAAAACAAAAAUGUGGCUAACAGAGUUGAGGCAAAAACUCUUGAAUAUGUCUAAUCUCUUGCAAGAACAAACCAAUAAUGAGAUAUUCCAAAUUCAGUUGACCAAGUUGACACCAUUCUUUCCCUGCUCAUCAAUAUAAAUUCUGAAUUGAAUGUGCCCCUAGUUGGUCUACUUAAAAGUAUAACACAUUAUGACCAUAUGUAAUUUACUUCAGGAAUGUAAAAUUACUAAAACACUAGAUAAUCAAAUAACACAAUUAACCUAAUAAUUGUAUAAUAACCUCAAUAAACGAAGACAAAACUAAGGAAGAGAAGUAGAGAAGUCAAAUCUCAGAAAAUAGUAGUCCUACCUAAUUUUUCAUAUUUUCAUGAUCAACCAAGAGCUCCAGAGCCAAAAAGCCAGAAAAUCUAUUCUUACCCAUUCUUCUCUAUUAAAAUUGAAGAAAUUUAUUAACUUAUUUUUUAUUUUUAUGUUUUGUGGAAGUAUAGUUGAUUUACAAUGUUAUGUUAGCUUCUGAAAUACAGCAAAGUGGCUCAGUUAUACAUAUGUACAUUUUUUUCAUUUUCUUUUCUAUUACAGUUUAUUACAGGAUACUGAGUAUAGUUCCUUGUGUUAUACAGUAGGACCUUAUUGUUUCUUUUAUAUAUAGUAGUCUGUAUCUGUUAACCCCAAACUCCUAACUUAUUCCUCUUCCACCCCUUUUCUCCUUUGGUUCUCUAUGUCUGUGACUCUGUUUCUGUUUUGUAAAUAAGUUCAUUUGUAACAUAUUUAAGAUUCCUCAUGUAAGUGAUAUCAUAUGAUAUUUGUCUUUAUAUUUCUGACGUACUUCACUUAGUAUAGUUUAAAAGUAUGUUCAAAUAACUGUUGUCAUGUUUAGGAAAACUAUACAGGAGCUGAACUAGAGAACUUGCUGGCCAGCAUAACGAUGUUUUCAGUAGACACAGUAAUCUACUGACUGCCUUGAGCAUAUACCAUGAAUUUCUAGAUCUAUUAUUAUAAUGAAAAAUUAAAAGACUGUGGAGGACAAUGCUAACAUUUUCUAUUACUGUCCUUAAUAUAUACAUAUUUUUCAUCUUAAAAGAUCCCAGUAUACACGUUCAGAUAUGCUGAGGUAUCUGAAUUAAAAUAAUCCAUAUUAAUAGUACCUAGAGUUACACUUUAUUUUUACCCUUGGAAACAUGGCCAAUUGUUUUAACAUGUUUUGACAGUAACUAUGCAGUUUUUUGUGACCUUAAAUACCUUUCUUACAGGCUGUUCAUUUUACUUAUCUUCUACUAGAAUAUCUAAAUUCAGCAUUUAAAGAGCAUUUCAGUUAAUGAAAGAGCUGAGAGGUAUUUUGAAAACCACUAUCAUUCUAUUCCCCAAAUUUCUCUAACUGGGCUCGCUGGAUAACCUUUUUCUGCACAGUAAUCAUGAAAUCUCAGAAGGAUAUAACACUCAUAUCUUUGAGUUGAUUGAAGCUUCACUGAUUCAGUUCUGCUAAACACUGUGGUAGGUAUCCUGUUUCUGCUUAUCCACUGUCAGUAGGUUAGCAGAGCAACUAACUCAGCUUCCUGCAUCUAAUAUGACCAACAGGCUAACUGGACAUGCUCUCACAACAAGGGCAGAAGCAGGAAAGCUCAAGGGAAACCAAACAUGUCUCUUAAGGCCUAUGCUCCUAUGCUCAUAAGUAUCAUAUUUUUGCAUCUACCCAUACUCUCUUGGCCAAAGCAAUUCAUGUGGCCAAUGGGCAGAUAAGUGCUCUCUGUCCACAGUGAGGUCAGUGUAGAUGCAGGGAGGCACGAGAAAUGGGACCAAAUAAUUUAUUCCAGGAAAAUGAAAAAGUCUCUCUCUCAAUAGCACAGGGAGUACAGUGACUAGAGUAUUAUGUUUUUCUAAAUGUUCUUUUUAAAAUGCAUGCCUCUACAAAUGCUUCAAGGAGAGGAGAGGUAUUGCUAAAAGAGCACAAUCUCAGUCAGCACAUAACACUAUGUAGUAUACUUUGUGCUCCAUUUAUUUAAAGUUCCUGCCCUUAAAUGUCUAGGUUCAAGUCCUAACUCUGCUAACUAGUUACCUCUAUGAUUUAGAACAAAGGUGCUGAAAGUUUAUGUGCAUCAGAGUCAUCUGAUGGGUUUAAGACACAGAUUGCUGGGCUUUCUUUCCAAUUGUGAUUUCUGGUUCAGUAGGUUUGAGAUGGGGCUUAUACUGAUGGACCAGGUACCACACUUUGAGAAAUAAUGAUUUAAGAAAUCUGAAAAUGGAUCUCACUAAUAACUAUGACAGUUGGUUUCUGUUUUAAGAGGCCCCAGGAUAACUUUCUCUUUAUUUUCAUAGCUUUCAAUUUUGAAAGUUAAUAGCUUCCAUAAGCCUGUUCUACAUGCUUCAUCUUCUAUUCACAGACAUCAAUAAAUCUGAGAGGAUUUUGUACUUCAGCUGACUUUUGGUGAUUUACAAUCAUUGGAUUUCAAGCUUUUGUGAAUAUCUAAUAAACUUGUUUGCCUCAUCAGCUGGGAAAAUUUAAGAGAAAGAAACUGCCUUCAUAUUAAUUAAAAAUGUCUAGUAUUUAAAGCCAUCAAUCUAAAUGUGAUACAAUUCAGCAAAUAAGUACUGAAUUUUCACUCUAAGAUCCUCAGAUAAAUGUUCUUGGAAAAACAGGGAAGAUUAAGAAAAGGGCUCUACUAAUAUUUAUAUUUAUUAGUGAAUUGCCUAAAGUAGCAGAAUUGACUACCAUAAGCUACUGAAGAUACAAAAGCCAAAGAAAAUUAUUCUUAUCUUGAGGUGCAGUUGUGGGAUGGCAGAAGAUGAGCUGCUAAAAAUGAUCAUUUUCUAAAUGGAGGGUAGAAAUGCACAAUGAAUAAAUAGUAAGGAAUGGAUAGUGAGAGAGUGAUAAGAACUGCUUCACAUCUCGUUACUGUUGCUCAGAAAAACAACAACUACAACUGAACUCAAGUUUACAUAGGGCCCAGCUCCUCUCUGAAUUAAUAGUAUCUUUAAAAAAUAUUUUCCAUCAGGAUGUUUUAAUGUUUGCAUAACAUAACUAAAUCUAAUAUUCAGGGACUAGAAGAGAAACAAAUAUUAUCUAUUGUAUAAGUGGAUCUAUCAGGUCAUUGAAAAAAUGUUCUCAAGGUCACAGAUCAAUUCAGCAAGAGAGAUGGGACUAAAAUAAUUGAUUUGUAACUUUCUCUCAUUCCUAGACUCAUAGGCUGAGCUAAACUUGUCAUCAUUGUCCUUUAAUGAAAAAUUAAAUUGAUUUAAAAUAUUAAUGCAAAAGAUGUAUUAAUCAAUCAUGCUAAUGAAUAUAAACUGCAUAGAAACUGAAUAGAAAGGGUCCUUUUUUUUUUUUUGCUGUAGCAUUGUUAUUCAUAAAAGUAAUCACGGAGUUCCCAUUGUGGUGCAGUGGAAACGAAUCCGACUAGGAACCAUGAGGUUGCGGGUUUGAUCCCUGGCCUUGCUCAGUGGGUUAAGGAUCCGGCAUUGCCACGACCUAUGGUGUAGAUUGCAGAUGCGGCUAGGAUCUGGCGUUGCUGUGGCAUAGGCUGGCGGCAACAGCUCUGAUUACACCCCUAGCCUGGGAACC